GAUGAACGCUGGCGGCGUGCCUAAUACAUGCAAGUCGAGCGAACGGACGAGAAGCUUGCUUCUCUGAUGUUAGCGGCGGACGGGUGAGUAACACGUGGAUAACCUACCUAUAAGACUGGGAUAACUUCGGGAAACCGGAGCUAAUACCGGAUAAUAUUUUGAACCGCAUGGUUCAAAAGUGAAAGACGGUCUUGCUGUCACUUAUAGAUGGAUCCGCGCUGCAUUAGCUAGUUGGUAAGGUAACGGCUUACCAAGGCAACGAUGCAUAGCCGACCUGAGAGGGUGUUCGCCACCCCGGAACCUAGGACCCGUUCCCACUCCCUCGGGGAGGCAGCGGUGGGAAUUCUUCCGCAUGGGGCAAAACCCUGCCGGAGCACCCCCGCGUGAGUGUUGAAGGUUUUCGGUUCGUAAACCCUUUUUUUUGGGGAAAAAAAUAUGUUAAGGUACCGGGGCCCUUCUUGCCGGUACCAAACAAAAACGCCCCGGCUACCUCCGU
This 496-nucleotide ribosomal RNA is filed under the name uncultured bacterium. RNAcentral's name for it is "partial 16S ribosomal RNA". It matches the Rfam family "Bacterial small subunit ribosomal RNA", at positions 28 to 506 of the family's 1533-position model. The record is from RNAcentral.